Molecule: microRNA precursor, 87 nt
Filed under: Chlorocebus sabaeus (green monkey)
Lineage: Eukaryota; Metazoa; Chordata; Mammalia; Primates; Cercopithecidae
Description: miRNA (ENSCSAG00000024955.1)
Source: RNAcentral
ACAAGAUUAUAUAUAUAUACACACACACACAUAUGUGUGUAUAUAUGUGUGUGUGUAUGUGUGUAUGUAUAAAUAUAUAUAUAUGUA